AAUCUUGGACAGAUCAUGUUGCGUACGAGCAAUCUAAUCAGUUAUGGGCUUCGGAACGAAAUUCGAUUUGCAAUUUCGUAUGCGUCGUGUAAUACGGGAAACACGUUUGACCAUUUCAUCACAUGAUGCACACGUGCACACACGUGCAUAGGACGUGAUACGUGAUGUAUCAUACGAUUUAUCGCGCAUUUAGAAGUCCGCAUGCGUCCUUCGUUCCGCAUGAUGCACAAAAUUGCAAGCAGAAAUCCGUUCUGAAAUUUUCCGUCAAUCAUACACGGACUGAAGCGAGCUUUUGUCAAAGUGUAUAAUCUGAAGCUAUCAUUUGCAAGAAUUGACCAGUUCGACGAGUUCGGCAAGUUUGACCAAACAUGAAGCAGGCAAUGCAUGAAAUUCGGCAGAAGUAAGCUCGAAAUGAACGACAACUGGCUUGUGCAGACCGCUAUUUUGAGAUGCAAUAUAAGAUCACGACGUAAGUGUAACAUUAAAUGACAAAAUUGUAUCCUGACUUCCUCAAGGGAGAUUAUUAUACAUUUAAUUUGCAAC
Long non-coding RNA from Ooceraea biroi (clonal raider ant), 543 nucleotides. RefSeq lists it as uncharacterized. Lineage: Eukaryota; Metazoa; Arthropoda; Insecta; Hymenoptera; Formicidae. The record is from RefSeq and is a predicted model, not a curated record.